RNAcentral lists this long non-coding RNA (356 nucleotides) under Phascolarctos cinereus (koala). RNAcentral describes it as "lncRNA (ENSPCIG00000029064.2)". The record is from RNAcentral. Lineage: Eukaryota; Metazoa; Chordata; Mammalia; Diprotodontia; Phascolarctidae.
AUUUGGGUUUCUGGGCUUCCUUGAAGCAGAGGGGCUAUGGCUAUAGCCACUGCUCUUUCCAGAGCUAUGAGUGCCCACUGAGUGAGGUGAUCAUAAAGUAGCACUGUGGGAGAGAACCUGAUCUUGCCGCAAAUGAAGAUAGCAGCUAUAAGUCUAUUUGCAGCUCGGAAAGCACAAACAUUCUGAGAGAUGUCCAUCUACACAGGUGGGAGCCAGGGAAAGGAUAAGACCACCUCUGGAUGGCCCCACCCUCCAGCAAAGGAAGAGUUUCUCUCAAUUGGUGAAUGGAUGAACAAGGUAUAGUAUAUAGCCAAUGUGGGAAUUUUUUACAAGGGUUUUAUUUUUCUUUCUUUUUC